GGCGGGCCAGGGUGCUCUUGGAAAAGCAGGAGUGCCUGUCCUCGCCUAGGUCCCUGGGGCUAGAGGCCUAGUCACGGACUCUGCCCUUUCUACCCCGCGCUUUCCUUCCCGGCUUCCGUAUCAUUUAAAGGGACCGUGCUCUUCCUUUCCCAGCACUCCGGCUUGAGUGUUAAAUGGCCAGCAGGAAUUAUCCACUAGAGAAGCGGAAGGGAGAGAAUGGAAAUGGCCGCAUGCAGCUCCUCUCCCUCAGACAGCUCGGGGCUCAGCGGAAUGAGCACAGUCUGCAGGACAAGUGCGGAGGACUUCAGUCCCCUCUACUGUAUAUUGGCUUUAGGACUCAAGUUGUCCCUGAAAUAGAGGAAGGUGUUUUCUAGGGUAGUGGUAAUUAUCACAGUCAAAAAAGUAGGCGAGAGCACUUAGGAAAACUGUGCGGAGAUCGGCUGCUGAUGUGUAAAUACUGCUGAAGCUGCUUAUUCAAGAUUAGAAAACCUGAGACCCAGACGGGGGAAACUGCUUUCCAUGGUUAAUCGUCAACAACUGGCCAGGAUGGGACAGAAGCCCAUACAUAGCCUUCAUUCCAGGGCUCAGAACAAAAAGAAGGCAGUGGCCUGGGCUGCACCUGAGCUUGGCUUCACAUAGGAGGGAUUCUGGAACGCAGGAUCCUGACAACGACCUCAAGGUUAGAAUGAAUGCCAAAGAUGCCUUUUUUGUGUGUGCUUUUCUUUUUUAAAUAAAAUACAAAUUGCUUAUUUCAUCUGUAAAAUGGGGAGUAUCUCACAAACUCACAAUUGUGGUAUGAGGACUGAAAUGAUCACCUGGAGUGGCGAUCCUAACCUCCAACUUUCCCUAAGAAAGAAUUCCAUUUUGUGCAUAAAAAUUCAUGCUUGUAACUAGUGUGUUUAUCCAAAAUGAGACCAAGAGAAGAUUAUUUUCCUCCAAUAGUGCAAGCUAAUAAAUAAGACACAUUUUAAAGCUGUUUCUAAUUAAUAAAAGCAUUAUAUCCAUUAAA
This 1009-nucleotide long non-coding RNA is filed under the name Homo sapiens (human). Its description in RNAcentral is "HSALNT0371479". The record is from RNAcentral. Lineage: Eukaryota; Metazoa; Chordata; Mammalia; Primates; Hominidae.